Long non-coding RNA from Salmo salar (Atlantic salmon), 876 nucleotides. RefSeq lists it as uncharacterized. The record is from RefSeq and is a predicted model, not a curated record. Lineage: Eukaryota; Metazoa; Chordata; Actinopteri; Salmoniformes; Salmonidae.
AGAAGCCGAGUUCAGACCAUGCAGAAACACGAUGUUCAUAGAUACAUUUAUAUUUGGAACUAACCCACACUUCUUUACUGUGCGUGGGCGCUCAGAAAUGAGUGUAAAUAUAUGGUAUAUGCGUGCAUUAUUGCGGAAGUCCUUACAAGUAGGUUGUAUCCGAAAUGGGAGGUGUUUACAGGCCUAAUGCGCAUAAUGAAUUGCCUUAGUGGUCUCCUCGCUGUGAGUGUACUACUGUUUUUUCCAACAGGCCUGGGAUUUUAUGGCACAGUUGGUAGGUAGCGCGGAGCCACUGGGCUGCUUGUGAGAAUACUACUGUUUCUUCACAGCUAGUUACAACGAAUGUCUUGUUUCUCAGUGGUGUAGUGGUACCUGGAGAAAUGGGUAUAACCCACUAUAUUUUGCCAACAACUUACCAAACGGCCUUCCUAGCGAAGGAAAGACGCCCCGAGUGAAAAAUUCAGUUUUCCUAUAGUUUUUUUUGCAGGGUUUCACUGUCAAUAUCAAACUUUUUUUAUAUAGCAAAACAGCAAAAAUUGCGCACCUAGCACGUUUAGGCUAACUGUGUUUAUGUACUGUACAACAUUGUAGGCCUACAGUGUACAUGUGAUUUUGCUAAACAAAUACACCCCCGAUUGAUACAAAUCAUCAUGACGUAAUCUACCAGGUCAUCAGGCUGCGGAUUAUCCCGCACACCUGUCACCAUCGGCUCAUGCACCAGCGCCUCAUGACACUCACCUGGACUCAAUCAACUCGUAGAUUAUCUUCCCUAUGUCUGUCACCUUGGUUCUUUUCUCAGGUGUUAAUGACUCUGUUUCAUGUCGGUGCGUUGUUUGUGUUCAUUGUGUCUAUUUAUUAAAACACUCACUCCCUAAA